UCCAGGCCCUAGAAAAAAAAAAAAAUGCUGAAAGGAGCCCAAAGUGACAGUUUUUCUGUGAUCACUGUUCUGCUUGGUGUAUCUGAUUUGUGGCAUUUCAGGAAAAGACAGUU
This 113-nucleotide small nucleolar RNA is filed under the name Sus scrofa (pig). Lineage: Eukaryota; Metazoa; Chordata; Mammalia; Artiodactyla; Suidae. The record is from RNAcentral.